Molecule: RNA transcript, 4609 nt
Organism: Alligator sinensis (Chinese alligator)
Lineage: Eukaryota; Metazoa; Chordata; Crocodylia; Alligatoridae
Gene name: ovostatin-like
Exons: 36
Source: RefSeq, a predicted model, not a curated record
GUCACAUCUGUGUCUUUCUGUCACCACCUUCGAAGACAGAGAUGUGGUCAAGGAUUUUUCUAAGCAUCCUUUUCCUUCAUUUAACUGCUGCAGAGUUUUCUGAACCCCAAUAUGUCCUGCUGGUCCCUGCCGUGGUUCAGAGUGGAAAUCCACAGAGCGCCUGCUUACAGUUCUAUAACCUGACCGAGCCUGUGACCCUGAGCAUUAUCUUGAAAUACAAUGAACUCCAGACUACUCUGCUUAAGGAGUCUGUGACAAAGAAUGACUUCUUCAAAUGCACCACGUUCACGGUUCCUCCUGCCGGCUCUGACCCUUUGGCUUUCAUCACUUUCUCUGCCAAGGGUGCAACAAUUAACCUAUCUAAGAGGAGGUCAGUGGCGAUUCAGAACAUAGACAACAUUGUCUUCAUCCAGACAGACAAGCCCAUCUACAAACCAGAACAAACAGUAAUGUUCCGUGUUGUCGCUCUCGAUAGCAAUUUCAGACCUGCUCAGGAGAUGUAUCCCCAGAUCAUCCUCAAGGAUCCCAGGGGAAAUCAUAUCUUUCAGUGGCUGGAAACUACAUCUACAAAAAGCAUUGUCCAGCUCUCAUUCCCCUUAACUCAGGAGCCAAUCCUGGGGUCCUACAGCAUUGUCGUCACAAGGAAGUCGGGCCAAGAUGUGUAUCACUCAUUCAAUGUCGAUGAAUAUGUGCUACCAAAGUUCGAAGUGUUGAUCCAAAACCCAAGAAGGGUCUCUCUUUUAGAUCAAGAAUUCAAAGUGAAUGUUUGCGCUUCGUACACUUAUGGACAGCCUGUGCAAGGGAACGUCCAGCUCAGUGUCUGUAAAAUGCAUUACUAUCGUAGAGAAUGUGACCAACAACCCAAGAAAAUAUGUGAAAGAGUCAAUGAACAAUUGGGGAAGGAUGGCUGCCUCACCAAAGCCAUUCCCACUUCAGCAUUCCAGUUAUUUCGGUAUCGUCCAAGGAUGUUUGUUAGCCUUAACGUGGAUGCAGUGGUCACAGAGAAUGGAACAGGUGUGCAGAUUAGCAGCUCUGACUCAAUUUUCAUCUACGAAGGGAGCAAAAGAAUAUGGUUUGAGAACAUGGAUCACUACUACAAAAGGGGAAUCCCUUACUUUGGACAGAUCAACCUGAAAGAUGAGGAAGAGAACCCCAUUGCAAAUGGGAUCAUCCGCCUAGAGCUCAAUGGAAUGUACCUGGCUAACUACACCACAGACAAGAAGGGCUCUGCUCUGUUUUACCUCAACACCUCCAACUUCUUUGAUCCCAGAUUGGAGCUGAGGGCAAAAUAUGUUGACUGUUCAGACUUUGGCUGGACGAACUUUGAGGAACCUCAGGCUGUAUUCCACAUCCAGCGUUUCUACUCCCGCACUAACACCUUUGUUAAGAUUGAGCCAGAGAGAGAGCAGCUGAGCUGUGGCCAGCAGAAGGCAAUCAUGGUGCACUAUAUCCUGAACAAAGAUGGGUAUGGGGAUGCCACUAGUGUGAACUUCUACUACUUGGUGUUGGCAAAAGGCACAAUUGUCCUCAGUGGCACAAAGGAAGUCAACUUGGAACAUGAUUCUCGGGGCAUGUUCACUAUCCAGCUGCCUAUCAGUGAGAAGUUGGCCCCCGAUGCCAGGUUGCUGGUCUACACUGUGCACCCUCAUAGGGAGGUGGUGGCUGAUAGCACUUACCUGAAUAUAGAACGGUGCUUGAAGAACAAGGUCCAGCUGGAGUUCUCUGAGAAACAGGGGCUUCCAGGCUCUGAUGUCAACCUCCACGUUGAAGCUGCUGCCAACUCAUACUGUGCCCUGCGGGCUGUAGACCAGAGUGUCUUGCUUCUGAAUCCUGAGAGAGAGCUCUCUCCAGAGACUAUCUACUCUGAGUUACGUACAGGAAACUUGUAUGGCUAUUACUACCAAGGACUCAACUUGGAAGAUGACAACAGUGAGCCUUGCAUCCCCUAUAAAAACGCCUUUUUCAAUGGCUUGUAUUAUGUGCCCGUGAAUGUUAGUCAUGAUGGUGAUGUCUACAUGAUUUUCAGGGAUCUGGGUCUCAAGAUUUUUACCAACUCUAUGACAAGGAAGCCAGUUGUGUGCAAAACAGAAAAAGCAUGCCCUGAAAAAGAUGUAUUUCAUAAGGAUGCAGAAAACGCAGGGAUUUUUGGUGGUGCUUUCGGUGAUUCAAAGAGAAUAGUAAACACCAUUCGGAAAUUUUUCCCUGAGACCUGGAUUUGGAAGCUAGUUCCCACUAACUCUGCUGGAAAGGCUGACAUCUCUCUCGUCAUCCCUGACACCAUCACAGAAUGGAAAGCCAGCGCCUUCUGCAUGCAGGAUGAUGUUGGGUUUGGCAUAUCCCCAACUGUUUCUCUGACAGCUUUCCAGCCCUUCUUUGUUGAUCCCACUCUGCCCUACUCCAUUGUCCGAGGAGAAAAGUUUAAUUUAAUAGCCAAUGUCUUCAACUACAUGGACAGAUGCAGCCUGAUCAGUGCUGUAUUAGCCAAGUCAGAUGAUUACAAGGCAGAGGUCCUCACCCCAGAGAACAAUGUUGUGAAGUUGUGUGCAAAUGAGAGGAAAACCUACAUCUGGGCUGUGAGCCCACACAAACUAGGUGAAGUGAACUUCACAAUUACUGCUGAGACGCAAUCAAGUGACAAAACCGUUGGGAAUGGUACUUCAGCAAAGGAGAUAGUAUGGAAGGACACGAUCAUCCAAAAGCUGUUAGUCGAGCCUGAAGGCAUCAAAAAGGAGGUGACCCAGAGUGACCUCAUGUGUACAAAAGGCCAAGCAAACUCUGGAGUAAUAUCCCUGAAGCUGCCAGCAAACGUAGUGGAGGGAUCAGCCAGAGCAUAUUUUUCUGUCAUUGGGGAUCUCUUGGGCUCUACCUUACGGAACAUGGAGAAUCUCCUCCACAUGCCCUAUGGCUGCGCAGAGCAGAAUAUGGCUCGUUUCACACCCAAUAUCUACAUCCUGGACUAUCUGAACAAGACAGGGCAGCUGACUAACGAGAUCAGAGUCAAGGGCGUUACAUACUUAGCUAGCGGAUAUCAGAAGCAGUUGUCCUACCAACAUGAAGAUGGAUCAUACAGUGCCUUUGGGGACAGAGAUGAGCAAGGGAAUGUAUGGCUGACAGCCUUUGUGUACAAGUCCUUCGCUGAAGCCACGCGCUACAUCUACAUUGACAGCAAUGUGCAGCAGAGGACCCUGACCUGGCUGGCAAGUAAACAGAACCCAGAUGGUUGCUUCCCAAAGGAUGGGAACCAUUUCAACAAUGCUUUGAAGGGUGGAGACAGUGGACUUUCACUCACAGCCUAUGUCAUUGCAGCUUUUCUUGCAGCUGGACACUCCACCUCGCACACGGUGGUUCAGAAUGGCCUGAAGUGUCUGGAGGCUGUUGAUAGCAAUGGAGUCACCAAUUUGUAUGGCCAGGCCCUCCUAGCCUACACUUAUGGCUUAGCAAGCAAUAAAGCAAAACACAGAUUCUUCUUGGAGAAGUUGGACAAAUCAGCUACCAAACGUGAUGGCUCAGUUUAUUGGGAGCUGGAAAAGAAGCCACCAACAGGCAACUUCCCCUUCUACUUGCGUGCCUCUUCUGCCGAGGUUGAACUGACCAGCUAUGUGCUGCUGGCACUGCUCAACCAAUCCAAUGUGACUCCAAAGGACUUGUCAUACAUGUCUCAGAUUGUGCAGUGGGUUGUCAAACAACAGAAUCCAUAUGGGGGCUUCUCCUCCUCCCAGGACACUGUUGUUGCUAUCCAAGCUCUAGCCAAGUAUGCGCAUCUCACCUUCUCCAAGGAUGGUCAAAACACAGUUGAGAUCAAGUCCAAGAAUCUUUCAAACAAGGUCUUCCAGGUGAACAAUAAAAACCGCUUCCUGCUGCAGCAGACUUCCCUGCCCAGUGUCCCAGGGGAGUACAGGGUGGAAGUGAAUGGCAACGGCUGUGUCUACAUGCAGACAACACUAAGGUACAACAUCCACCUGUCUGGGGAGGACUCUGGGUUUUCUCUCUCUGCACAGCCGACAAAUGCUUCCUGCACAAGCAACUUCCCACCGAAGUUUGACCUUGUCAUCUCGACCAGUUAUGCUGGGAAGCGGAGUGAGUCCAACAUGGCCAUUAUUGAUGUGAAGAUGCUCUCGGGCUUUGUACCUGUUAAAUCAUCCCUGCAGGAGCUUCAGAACAGUCGUGUGGUGAUGCAUGUGGAGACCAAGAACGACCACGUCCUCUGCUACUUGGAGAAGGUUACCCAGAAGGAAAUCCGUUUCUCUUUCAGCAUUGAACAAAGCCUUCCUAUAUCUAAUAUCCAGCCAGCUUCUGUGCAAAUCUAUGAUUACUAUGAAACAGAUGCAUCCAACGUUGCAGUCUACAAUACACCCUGCAAACAAGCUUCCACUUGAAACUGGGGAGGAGGCAGGAAGAGGUAACGGAAAGCCAGAGACCCCAGCUAAGCUUGGUACAAAUUAAAGCUGUGAAAAUCUGAUAUUGAUCCCUUAUUUCCUCUGACAACAUGGAAAAAGCUGUUUCAGAAAUGUCACACUUCUAAUCACAAAGGGAAAACAAUGGCAUUUUUGGUGUCAUCUUUUUUUUCCCCCCCCUCUUCAAUAUGCUUUGAAAUAAAGUCCUCUGAUUA